This 278-nucleotide ribosomal RNA is filed under the name uncultured Burkholderiales bacterium. RNAcentral's name for it is "partial 16S ribosomal RNA". It matches the Rfam family "Bacterial small subunit ribosomal RNA", at positions 505 to 782 of the family's 1533-position model. The record is from RNAcentral. Lineage: Bacteria; Pseudomonadati; Pseudomonadota; Betaproteobacteria; Burkholderiales.
GUGCCAGCAGCCGCGGUAAUACGUAGGGUGCAAGCGUUAAUCGGAAUUACUGGGCGUAAAGCGUGCGCAGGCGGUUUUGUAAGACAGUGGUGAAAUCCCCGGGCUCAACCUGGGAACUGCCAUUGUGACUGCAAGGCUAGAGUGCGGCAGAGGGGGGUGGAAUUCCGCGUGUAGCAGUGAAAUGCGUAGAUAUGCGGAGGAACACCGAUGGCGAAGGCAAUCCCCUGGGCCUGCACUGACGCUCAUGCACGAAAGCGUGGGGAGCAAACAGGAUUAGA